CCUGUUUAGUCAAACUCGCCUUUUGAGUCCCUUGGUGGUAAAUUUAGUCUCUCCCCUCAGAUACCUUUGGUUAUGACGGCCAGAAGGUUCCUUGGCUCUCCUGGGUUGGAGCUUCCGGUUCCCUCUACCGUGAGAUGGUGCGGCUUUAGAGCGUAGUGCAGAGAGAGGGUGGGAGUGAUGGCGGCACGGAGGCUGGGCUUUUCCCCCUCUUGGGUAGUCGCCCGGCUGGGGCACCUGCCUGCAGUCUGCGUUCAA
This is a non-coding RNA of Pelobates cultripes (western spadefoot toad), 255 nucleotides long. NCBI's taxonomy places the organism in Eukaryota, Metazoa, Chordata, Amphibia, Anura, Pelobatidae. The record is from the annotation of a GenBank genome assembly.